RNAcentral lists this long non-coding RNA (520 nucleotides) under Mytilus galloprovincialis (Mediterranean mussel). Lineage: Eukaryota; Metazoa; Mollusca; Bivalvia; Mytilida; Mytilidae. The record is from RNAcentral.
CUUAAAUAUAAAGCUUUUGAAAUAGUUUACACUGCUGCAGCCAGGUAGUAAUCAGUAAAACGUUUAAGUCUCUCAUACAUGUAUAUAUAUAUAUAUAUAUAGAUCUCUAUUUUCACAGGCAAUACAAAAAUCAGUAAGCAUUAUUAUUCUUUAUAAUUCUAUAAAAUUUUUUUUUUACAAAUUGUCAAUCCAGUUUUUUCCUUCAAAGAUGCAGACUCACACAAGCCAAUUCAGUCCCUUCUAAACAAACCACUUGAAGGAUAAGGGCAAAAAUUGUAUGGCCCAGUCCUUAAUGUCAGAUCAAAACUUCUUCUGGCUAUAAUUCAUCCAAAAGUGUUCAAUGUAGUAUGUCCACUGUCUUAUUGAUAUCUUAUAAAAUGCUGCUUCCAAGACAUUAUAUGUGACUGUGAUAGCUCAAUGCCUGUUAUGUUAAUACUCAAUAUGUACAGUUCCUCUAGAAAAUCUACAAAACAGAAGUGAAAAAUUAUAAUACAUGAAAAUUAUGAAUGGUACAUGUACG